CUCUGUAGUCUUGUGCGCCUCGUC
Molecule: non-coding RNA, 24 nt
Filed under: Arabidopsis thaliana (thale cress)
Lineage: Eukaryota; Viridiplantae; Streptophyta; Magnoliopsida; Brassicales; Brassicaceae
Source: RNAcentral